AUGCUACUCCCUACGUCCCAAAAUUCUUGUCUUAAAUUUGUCCAGAUACGGAUGUAUCUAACUAGAUACAUCCGUAUUUAGAAAAAUCUAAGACAAGAAUUUUGGGAUGGAGGGAGUAUUAU
This is a non-coding RNA of Triticum aestivum (bread wheat), 122 nucleotides long. Lineage: Eukaryota; Viridiplantae; Streptophyta; Magnoliopsida; Poales; Poaceae. The record is from Rfam.